CCUACGGGAGGCUGCAGUAAGGAAUAUUGGGCAAUGGACGCAAGUCUGACCCAGCCAUGCCGCGUGGAGGAUGAAGGCCCUCUGGGUUGUAAACUUCUUUUCUCUGGGGCGAAAAACAGGUUUUCUAACUUGCUUGACAGUACCAGAGGAAUAAGCACCGGCUAACUCCGUGCCAGCAGCCGCGGUAAUACGGAGGGUGCAAGCGUUAUCCGGAUUCACUGGGUUUAAAGGGUGGAGGUGUGGGGGGGUAGAAAUCCCCGAGCUUAACUUGGGAACUGCCAUUGAUACUAUCUCUCUUGAAUACCUUGGAGGUAAGCGGAAUAUGUCAUGUAGCGGUGAAAUGCUUAGAUAUGACAUAGAACACCAAUUGCGAAGGCAGCUUACUACACGGUCAUUGACACUGAGGCACGAAAGCGUGGGGAUCAAACAGGAUUAGAUACCCUGGUAGUC
This 450-nucleotide ribosomal RNA is filed under the name uncultured bacterium. RNAcentral describes it as "partial 16S ribosomal RNA". It matches the Rfam family "Bacterial small subunit ribosomal RNA", at positions 338 to 795 of the family's 1533-position model. The record is from RNAcentral.